This is an unclassified non-coding RNA of Oncorhynchus mykiss (rainbow trout), 299 nucleotides long. It matches the Rfam family "Metazoan signal recognition particle RNA". From Rfam's summary of the family: The signal recognition particle (SRP) is a universally conserved ribonucleoprotein. NCBI's taxonomy places the organism in Eukaryota, Metazoa, Chordata, Actinopteri, Salmoniformes, Salmonidae. The record is from Ensembl.
GCCGGGUGCAGUGGCAUGUGCCUGUAAUCCAAGUCACUGGGAGGCUGAGGUUGGUGGAUCAAGUGAGCUGAGGAGGUCUGGGCUGCAGCACGCUAUGUCGAACGGGUGUCCACGCUAAGUUCGGUAUCGAUAUGGUGUUCCUGGGGGAGCCUGGGACCACCAGGUUGUCUAAGGAGGGGUGAACUGGCCCAGGUCAGAAACGAAGCAGGUCAAAUCCCCCGUGCUGUCCAGUAGUGGGAUAAUACCUGUGAGUAGAUGCUGCAGUGCAGCCUUGGCAAAACAUCGAGACCUAAUCUUUU